AUAAGGACAAACCUACUUUACAAUGCCCGAUCUUGCCUGAUUUGGAAAACUAAGCGGACGUCAGGUCUGGUUAAUACGUGGAUGGGAGACCACUGGGAAAACCCGGUUAUA
Molecule: ribosomal RNA, 111 nt
Filed under: Periophthalmus magnuspinnatus
Lineage: Eukaryota; Metazoa; Chordata; Actinopteri; Gobiiformes; Gobiidae
Source: RNAcentral